RNAcentral lists this ribosomal RNA (460 nucleotides) under uncultured bacterium. RNAcentral describes it as "SSU rRNA". It matches the Rfam family "Bacterial small subunit ribosomal RNA", at positions 26 to 518 of the family's 1533-position model. The record is from RNAcentral.
AGAAUCAACGCUGGCGGCGUGCCUAACACAUGCAAGUCGAACGAGAAAGUGGAGCAAUCCAUGAGUAAAGUGGCGCACGGGUGAGUAACACGUGACUAACCUACCCUUGAGUGGGGGAUAACCUAGAGAAAUCUGGGCUAAUACCGCAUAAUACCUUCGGGUCAAAGGAGCAAUUCGCUUAAGGAGGGGGUCGCGGCCGAUUAGUUAGUUGGCGGGGUAAUGGCCCACCAAGACUGUGAUCGGUAUCCGGCCUGAGAGGACGCACGGACACACUGGAACUGAAACACGGUCCAGACUCCUACGGGAGGCAGCAGUGGGGAAUUUUGCGCAAUGGGGGAAACCCUGACGCAGCAACGCCGCGUGGAGGAUGAAGUCCCUUGGGACGUAAACUCCUUUCGAUCGGGACGAUUAUGACGGUACCGGAAGAAGAAGCCCCGGCUAACUUCGUGCCAGCAGCCGC